GCGCGGGUGGCGGAAUAGGUAGACGCGCUAGCUUGAGGUGCUAGUCCUCGCAUAAGAGGGUGGGGGUUCAAGUACCCCUCCGCGCA
Molecule: transfer RNA, 86 nt
Filed under: Arthrobacter sp. HMSC08H08
Lineage: Bacteria; Bacillati; Actinomycetota; Actinomycetes; Micrococcales; Micrococcaceae
Description: tRNA-Leu
Rfam family: tRNA
About the family: Transfer RNA (tRNA) molecules are approximately 80 nucleotides in length. Their secondary structure includes four short double-helical elements and three loops (D, anti-codon, and T loops). Further hydrogen bonds mediate the characteristic L-shaped molecular structure. tRNAs have two regions of fundamental functional importance: the anti-codon, which is responsible for specific mRNA codon recognition, and the 3' end, to which the tRNAs corresponding amino acid is attached (by aminoacyl-tRNA synthetases). tRNAs cope with the degeneracy of the genetic code in two manners: having more than one tRNA (with a specific anti-codon) for a particular amino acid; and 'wobble' base-pairing, i.e. permitting non-standard base-pairing at the 3rd anti-codon position.
Source: RNAcentral